CUGGUGCUCAUGAAAAGAAUUUAAGUUCCGCCUUAUGAUUACUUACUACACUUUAAAGUAAAAAGCAAUCUUAAGAGUAAUUCAAUUGGGGUACAGCCCAAUUGAAAAAGGAAACAACCUUAACCUUUAGGUAAAGACUAUAAAACGUAAGGAUCUUGCCAGAGUGGGCCUAAGAGCAGCCACCUCAACAGAAAGCGUCACAGCUCAUGCAAAACCCAACCAACAAUACCAUUAUAUACUAUCUGAACCUAUAAAUAAUAUUGAGCCUCUCUAUAACCCUAUAGAACAGUUUAUGCUAGAACUAGUAACAUGAAAUUAUUCUCCGAAUGCAAGUGUAAAUCAGAUCGAAAAACUCACUGAUACUUAACGAACCCGUGAGGAAAUUGUAGUAACCCACCAAGAAAACUCUACAAAACUCCCAACCGUUAACCUAACACAAGAGCAUAAAAGAAAGAUUAAAAGACAUACAAGGAACUCGGCAAACAUGAACUUCGCCUGU
This 499-nucleotide ribosomal RNA is filed under the name Discoglossus montalentii (Corsican painted frog). RNAcentral describes it as "partial 16S ribosomal RNA". Lineage: Eukaryota; Metazoa; Chordata; Amphibia; Anura; Alytidae. The record is from RNAcentral.